AGAGUUUGAUCAGUGGCUCAGGACGAACGCUGGCGGCGUGCCUAACACAUGCAAGUCGAACGGAGAUAUGAUUUCGGUUGUAUCUUAGUGGCGAACGGGUGAGUAACGCGUGAACAACCUGACUCUAAGAGGGGGAUAACACUCGGAAACGGGUGCUAAUACCGCAUAAGACCACGACCUGGCAUCAGGAUGAGGUCAAAGGAGCAAUCCGCUGAGAGAGGGGUUCGCGUCCCAUUAGAUAGAUGGCGGGUAACGGCCCACCAUGUCAACGAUGGGUAGCCGAGCUGAGAGGCUGAUCGGCCACACUGGAACUGAGACACGGUCCAGACUCCUACGGGAGGCAGCAGUGGGGAAUAUUGGGCAAUGGGCGCAAGCCUGACCCAGCAACGCCGCGUGAGGGAAGAAGGCUUCCGGGUUGUAAACCUCUGUCCUUGGUGACGAAACAAAUGACGGUAGCCAAGGAGGAAGCCCCGGCUAACUACGUG
Molecule: ribosomal RNA, 485 nt
Filed under: uncultured bacterium
Lineage: Bacteria
Description: bacterial SSU rRNA
Rfam family: Bacterial small subunit ribosomal RNA
Source: RNAcentral